RNAcentral lists this long non-coding RNA (330 nucleotides) under Mus pahari (shrew mouse). RNAcentral's name for it is "predicted gene 28221 (MGP_PahariEiJ_G0002745.1)". Lineage: Eukaryota; Metazoa; Chordata; Mammalia; Rodentia; Muridae. The record is from RNAcentral.
GUUUAUCUUUUUGCGAAACUUGUAUUAGCUCAACUCAUGUAAACCUGUGGGAGAAAACAAAACAAACAGCUGAGCCAUCUUUUCCCAUCUCUGUUAAUUUACCUUGAAAAGUUCACAGCUUAGACAUUACAGCCUGCUGGGGUGGGAGGGAGUGGCCUCUGGGGGGAAUGUCCCAGCUCCCUUUAAUAGCCUCUCCCCAGAGGGUAACCUGUUCUUAAAAAGCUUAGCCUCAGGUGUCUGCUAUAGCUCCCAGGGCGUGUGUGACAACAGACCCAUGUUAGGAGUUUUGUAUUUCAAACAAAGCCCUCAAAGCUCGCAGAAAGAUCCCUG